This 510-nucleotide small RNA is filed under the name Pongo abelii (Sumatran orangutan). RNAcentral's name for it is "retained intron". The record is from RNAcentral. Lineage: Eukaryota; Metazoa; Chordata; Mammalia; Primates; Hominidae.
AUGGGGAGAGCCACGCGCUGGCCUGGAGCAUCGACCUCAAGGAGACUGGUCUCUGUGCUGACUUCCACCCGAGUGGGGCAGUUGUGGCCGUAGGACUGAACACGGGGAGGUGAGAGGGAGCCAGGACUCCCAGGAGGGAAAGCAGGGAGGUCUGGGAAGGGUUCCUGGUACUGGGGGAGUGGGCGAGAGUGACCGCCUCUACCCAGGAGCCACCUGUGCCUUGGCACUCCUCUGUGCCUCUCCCUGCAGCCCCUGCCACCCGGGCUCCCCUCCUCUCCUGUGGUAACUGUUUCUCCCCCUCCCCCAACCAGUGUCUCCUCCAAGCCUGGGAGUGGAGGAGGCAGCAGCCCAGGAUAGAGAAACAGUGGGAAUGGGAGGAGCAUAGACAAACACAGGGAAGUGACAGGCUUCCAGCUUGCACAGUGCCUUUGUAGUAGGCCCCUGGUCUGUAGUUUCAGAUUCCUUUUUCAGACAUCAGAAGCCCCUCAGCCUUUAUCCACACUUAGCUCC